CCUAAUGGAGAAUGUCCCCUUUCUUUUCGAUUUAGCAGCAUAGACAUGCCAAAGACAACGUUCCAUUGGGCACUUAACUAUAAUCUUCGUAGAAUCAUUCUUCUUGAAGAUAUAAUCACGAUUGUAUGUGAUGCAAUAAUCUUUAAUAGCUGUCCUAAAGUGUUGAGCAUUGCAAAACUGCUGAUGCUCUCCUUUGAUCAACCCCCUCCGUGUAAUUAUUGUCUCGACACUAAUGGCAUCAUCAUUGGGAUCAUCCAAAUUAUCAUAAUUCUCAUAUCCAAUUGAUACCAACCUACCAAAAAUAUGAUGGAAUAACAAUUGUGAG
RNAcentral lists this long non-coding RNA (325 nucleotides) under Elaeis guineensis (African oil palm). RNAcentral describes it as "long non-coding RNA (EGUI_LNC017657)". The record is from RNAcentral. Lineage: Eukaryota; Viridiplantae; Streptophyta; Magnoliopsida; Arecales; Arecaceae.